CCCAGAACCACGGAAAUUCUGCAGUGACUAUGGCCUGGAGCAGCUGUGACUGGGUGGCCCCUCUCCAGGUGCAGGUGCUGGACCUGCAGGAUCCUCCAGUGUGUCUCAGAGCCAGCCCCAUGUUUAAGGUAUUGCUGAACCCACUGACAGAAAGUCCUAUGACAGUGUCUCCUUUGUUAAUCAGCCAAACCUUCCCGGUGCCAGGUUAGCAGGGCCAUAUUUGCCUCACUUUAGGGCUUGCCCUAGGAUGCAGGUCAAAGGUAACCAGGCCCCUCCACCACCAGCAGUGUGGACCGCAACGUGGCGUGGCGUUAAUGUUGGAGUAAGUUGGCACUAGUCGCUGCGGGCUGUGUGGGAGCCCUGCCUCCUCUCCCUCUCCUUCUAACUUGGGAACUGACUCUCUUUCUAACCAGUUCCUCUACCCUUGGGGUCAUUCACUGGCCUUAGCAGGAAGCUGGAAGAGAGGAUGGGAGGGAGGAGGGGCUUGGGGAGAUCCAUCCACAGCAGAGAUAGCAGGACUCUGGUACUUCACCGGGAUCCUAAGCUGCCUGCCUGGUUUCUUGUGCCCUGUUUUAAGAACAGGUUUCUUUUUGAUACCAACCUUUCUGGAAAGAACUGCCCACGCGAACAUCACCUGCCCUGCGACCCGAUCAUUGCAGAACUCCUUCAGCAAAGCAGGAGGCUGGCUCCUGACAGACCUCUGGUCCUGAGGUCAGGCUCCCCUCUCCAGCAUCCCCAUCCACGAGAGGCACCGUGGGUGGCAUGUCCCUAGUAGCAGGGCCCUUUCGCCAUCACAAAGAGAACCCACUUCUCCCAAAUGAAUGGAACCCCAACUUCAGGAACACAUGGUCUCACUGCAGUGUGCGGACAGGUGGGGGAUUCUCGGCUCUACUUGAUCCUGACAGGAUAUGGGACAACUGUGGCCACUAAGCAUCUAGACCUCAUGGCUCAUGGAUUUCAUAGCAGAAUCCAUGCCCCAAUCCUGUGCAUUCUCAGGGGGCUGCUGGGUGCUCAGUGGUGAUAUAAGGGGACACACACACACGCUCAGGACAAUGAGGCAGCAAAUAGGGGUGUAGCGUCUGGGUCACAGUGACACUGGGAGGGAGGGAGAGGCGCCUGUGGUAGGAAGGAAGUUAGAGAUGUGCGUAGAAGGAACCAAGGGCUGAGAAUCAGGAAGGUGGAAGAGUAUCUAGCUGUGGGCAGAAGAGUCCAUUGUGGUGUCAGACUAGCUUUAAAGGAAUGGGGAGGGUGCACAGGACACCCAGACUUCCCCACAUGUCCCUGUCAGAGAAUGUCUCCAUCUUCUCAGGGUUUCUUGCAGUCUCCCUCAUUUACUUCCUUCCCUGGCCACUUCUUUCACCAGGACUCGCUGGUACUCACCGUCAGCCGUCAGCCGCUGUGCAGGGCACAGGUGGUCCCAUGCCAGUCCCUGCCUCUGCCACCAGGGACAUAAAGGGCAGUUUGAUGUGGAAGGACUCAGUAAUAGCAGUGUCGUGCCACAGUGAGAAAGUGUGUCUCUGCUAGAGGUGCUCCCGCCCCCAGAACCAUUCUCUUCCAAGCAAAGCAAAGUUACAUUGUUAUACCUGUCAGAUGGCUUGAGGGAAGGCCGUGUGCCAGCAUCUAGUGCCCCGGAACACCUCAAAUGGAUCCUGGAAGGACUUCAUGGUGACCGGGCUUGGUGGGGUGCAGCUGCUCAUUUUGACAGGCUGGAAGAGAGGACCAGGAGAGCAAGCAAAAGGAGGCAGUGGAGACAAGCAAUACCCUUCCAAAGCAUGUCCCCCAUAGUGGCCUCUUCCCUUAAACUCUCCCUCUGCCUCCCAACUUCCCAUUGCCUCCCAACACCACUGCCAGUUAUAACUCUAUCGAGGGACUUUCCAUUGAUGAAGACAGCACCUGUUUGCUGGUUCAUCUAAUCUGUGUCUGGAUUCAUCUAUACUGUCAUUGCUAUAGGCAGUGUGUGUGUGUGUGU
Molecule: small RNA, 1969 nt
Filed under: Rattus norvegicus (Norway rat)
Lineage: Eukaryota; Metazoa; Chordata; Mammalia; Rodentia; Muridae
Description: uncharacterized LOC102555497
Source: RNAcentral